This 490-nucleotide ribosomal RNA is filed under the name uncultured bacterium. RNAcentral's name for it is "bacterial SSU rRNA". It matches the Rfam family "Bacterial small subunit ribosomal RNA", at positions 28 to 504 of the family's 1533-position model. The record is from RNAcentral.
GAUGAACGCUAGCGCGUCAGAGAGUAUAAUACAUGCAAGUCGAGGGGCAGCAGCUUUAUAGCAAUAUAGAGGCUGGCGACCGGCAAACGGGUGCGGAACACGUACACAACCUUCCUUGAAUAGGGGGAUAGCCCAUAGAAAUGUGGAUUAAUACCCCGUAAUAUAGCGGUGUGGCAUCACACUGUUAUUACAGUUUCGACGAUUCGAGAUGGGUGUGCGGCUGAUUAGGUAGUUGGCGGGGUAAAGGCCCACCAAGCCUUCGAUCAGUAGCUGAUGUGAGAGCAUGAUCAGCCACACGGGCACUGAGACACGGGCCCGACUCCUACGGGAGGCAGCUUUAUGGAAUAUUGGUCAAUGGACGCAAGUCUGAACCAGCCAUGCCGCGUGAAGGAUGAAGGUCCUCUGGAUUGUAAACUUCUUUUAUAGGGGGCGAAAGAAGGUCUUUCUAGAUCACUUGACAGUACCCUAUGAAUAAGCACCGGCUAACUCC